Molecule: ribosomal RNA, 537 nt
Filed under: uncultured bacterium
Lineage: Bacteria
Description: bacterial SSU rRNA
Rfam family: Bacterial small subunit ribosomal RNA
Source: RNAcentral
GGAUUGGAAUGGGCGCAGCCUGAUCCAGCCAUGCCGCGUGAGUGAUGAAGGCCUUAGGGUUGUAAAGCUCUUUCACCGGGGAAGAUAAUGACGGUACCCGGAGAAGAAGCCCCGGCUAACUCCGUGCCAGCAGCCGCGGUAACACGGGGGGAGCAAGCGUUGUUCGGAAUCACUGGGCGUAAAGGGCGUGUAGGCGGGUGGAUAAGUCAGAUGUGAAAACCCAGAGCUUAACUCUGGGCCUGCAUUUGAUACUGUCCGUCUUGAGUAUGGGAGAGGAGAUCGGAAUUCCUGGUGUAGCGGUGAAAUGCGUAGAUAUCAGGAAGAACACCUGUGGCGAAGGCGGAUCUCUGGCCUAAUACUGACGCUGAGGCGCGAAAGCUGGGGGAGCAAACAGGAUUAGAUACCCUGGUAGUCCCAGCCGUAAACGAUGGGCACUAGGUGUUGGAGGUAUUGAUUCCUUCAGUGCCGAAGCUAACGCAUUAAGUGCCCCGCCUGGGGAGUACGAUCGCAAGGUUGAAACUCAAAAAAAUUGACGGA